GUUUUUCUUCAUUUAAUGCACAAGACCGGUGGUAAGUUUUUUACUUUUUCAAAUGCAGUUGUGACUUGAGAAAUCACAAUGAAAACCAAAGUUUCUGCAAUCUCUUGAAAGAUUCCAUUUGUCAAUGCUGGGAACAAGAUUUGUGAGCAUGGUUAGAGAACAGUUAUGGUAAAUUAGGAAACCAAGUGGAUUCUCCAGCACGAAACCUUUUGCACAGCUAGAUCAUCCCUGCUAUUAAAGGGUGUUGUCAUAAUUGCAUGUGACCCACACCUACCCCUCGCUAUAUAUUUCAUCUCUCCCCAGGGAAAGUACCGACCCAUGCCCGUGCUUUGGCUUUUAUCCUUUUCACUUUCUUGUUCUCCCCCUUUUGGAAAACCUAUCUUGUCCACACCCUUGGGCAUCUGGGAUUCUUGUCUUCCCUUUGGUAUUCUUCUACUUGGACAUCCUUCAGAUUAAAAAAAAAGUGAGAGGGUGUCAAAAGUGUUCUAGGGUUGAACCUAAUGCAUGUUAAUGCAAUUGAUGGUGUUUUUAUAGGAAGUUUAAUUAAUAUGGUUUUGAACAUGCUAGUAAAGAAUGAUGCAAGAGGCUCUAGAAUUUCACAGAUGUACAGUGGUCCCUCCUAGAAGCCUGAUACGAGCUAUUUCCUAGCAUUGAACCCCAUGUGGAGCCAACUCUUGGGCUUGCUAAGGUCCCUAUUAGAUCCUUUAGGCUUUUUUUUUCUUUUGUUGGUAGACAUUUAGGCUAUGUUCAGUACUCUAGUCAAAGGCAAAAAGAAGGUGAGUCAAAUAUAUGAAGAUCUCUCUCUCAAAAAAAAGGGGGUGGGGGGUGUUGCAAGGAAAAAUUGAUAUAGGAAGAUUUAUUUAAAUAAUUUUUAUUUAAUCUAUUAAUCUGUUUUCCUAGUAGGGGAAAAAAAAUAUCUGGCAGUGGUCUAGUUACUUAGGGUGCACAACAUGUCAGGUUAUAGUGGAUCAAUGGAAGUCAAUAGAGUAACUUGGAGGUAGAUCAUGCUUCAGUGACAUGUGUUUGAUGCUUCAAAGAAGAAGACUUUACAGUUUAGGUGAAAGAACAAAGGAAGCAAUUUAAAGGGGACAUAAUAGAAAAGCAAAAUAAAGGAAACACAUAAGAGAUAUAGAUUUUUCUAUUCAUAUCAAGCUGAAGAAUGGAUACAAAUUGGCAAUGGACACAUUCUUUUGAUCGUCAUCGAGACACUUCUGAGUUAGCAUGAUGUGUGUUCACCAUGGAGGAAAAAUUGUUUGACACAAACUCCACACACUCCAUGGGCAAAACUUGAGCAUUUGAGCAACUCAAAUAACAGGAUGGGCAUUCACCAUCAAGAAAAGCUUUGUCUCUAAGUUGUAUCUUGUUACAAACUUAUUGAGAGCUCAUCCAAGCUAAAUCCUAGAAGCAUGACAAAUAAUAGACCCUUGAGAGAUACCUAAAUAAGAAAACAGUUGGCAUCUCUAUGUUGGGUAUACACGGAUUGAGAUGUCGGAGAGAAGCAGAUCGAUAUCCUAUCUUUUGUCCAUUGAUGCUACAUUCUUUUCAAUGCUAAUUGAUGGUAAAUUCAUGGAAGUUUUGGUCAAGCACUUAAAUUAAUUUCUCUCGAACCAUGUGGCACAUCUUAACUCCUGGC
Molecule: long non-coding RNA, 1633 nt
Filed under: Elaeis guineensis (African oil palm)
Lineage: Eukaryota; Viridiplantae; Streptophyta; Magnoliopsida; Arecales; Arecaceae
Description: long non-coding RNA (EGUI_LNC022449)
Source: RNAcentral